GAAGAUGUUGGGAUGGCUGGUACAUCAGUGUCAUUUCCUCUUUCACCUUGCGUGUCUUCUACCUGUAAGCAGUAACAGGUGGGGAAAGGAGAAGAGACGAUAUCAAAUUGCUCCUGCUAACACUGACAGACUUCCCACUGUGCCAGGCAGUCCACCUCUGCCAUCAGCCCUCUCCAGCUGUCUCACCCAGAACGAACCUCUGUGAGCAGACGUUGCUAGCGAGAAGGCACCAACAACCCGCCAGGAAUAGCUGGUGCUACAUCAAGCACACAGAUAAGGAAGCAGAGCACGCUGCCGCCUUCUUCCUUCUCUUUGGAACAAGAAGCAGCAAUGAAAUCAAUGGCAAUGAAAUCAAAACCUCAAGUUCCUAGCUCUCGGGCUCCUACCACUUGGCUAGACUGCCCUGUGCACCGACAAAUCACUGAACACCAGCCGGCGAGGACCCCAGAGGAUCAUCUACACUGACAGAGCCAACCACGGCAAUCCAGCCGGUAUUUCCAUUACUGAGGUCUGUGACAAAUGAUGGUUUUGCCACAGAUGCAGAACCAGAAAACAUUACUAUAAAGAUUUAGUUUUUACUGCACCAGAUUUUCCUUCAGAAUGUUUUUUAAAGAGGCGUAUCAAUUGCUGUGUGUUUGGAGUCGAUUCUUCUAAAGCGCGCUCUAGAAAUUCUGCUGUUAUUUUAGAGGACAUAGAUUUGUUGGUUGUAAAGACAGCUCUCCAAACACAAGAAAAAACCCAAGCUCUCGAACACACAAGUAAUGCAGGGACAUCUGCUCAAAUCCAACGACAGCCUGAAGCAACAGUUCCAAGUGCCUCUUACCUCCACGGGAAACUACCGCUAAAGUUAGAUGACAGUCUGCCAACAUCUUUUUUACUACUGGUAUGCUAGAAAAACACAAUGCAAUUUGUCAUCAGCGCUGCAAAAGCAGAGAAGAGGGCAAAAUACAGUUAGAUACCAAGGGCUUCCUUCCCAAGAAGGGAAGCUCGACUACUUCCAGCAUCGCCAGUA
Molecule: long non-coding RNA, 1012 nt
Organism: Falco peregrinus (peregrine falcon)
Lineage: Eukaryota; Metazoa; Chordata; Aves; Falconiformes; Falconidae
Exons: 3
Source: RefSeq, a predicted model, not a curated record